UUAAUUUGAGAGUUUGAUCCUGGCUCAGGACGAACGCUGGCGGCGUGCCUAAUACAUGCAAGUCG
RNAcentral lists this ribosomal RNA (65 nucleotides) under Lactiplantibacillus plantarum. RNAcentral describes it as "partial 16S ribosomal RNA". It matches the Rfam family "Bacterial small subunit ribosomal RNA", at positions 1 to 64 of the family's 1533-position model. Lineage: Bacteria; Bacillati; Bacillota; Bacilli; Lactobacillales; Lactobacillaceae. The record is from RNAcentral.